This 423-nucleotide ribosomal RNA is filed under the name uncultured bacterium. RNAcentral describes it as "partial 16S ribosomal RNA". It matches the Rfam family "Bacterial small subunit ribosomal RNA", at positions 359 to 774 of the family's 1533-position model. The record is from RNAcentral.
GAAUUUUGGACAAUGGGCGAAAGCCUGAUCCAGCACUGCCGCGUGCAGGAUGAAGGCCUUCGGGUUGUAAACUGCUUUUGUACGGAACGAAAAGCUUUGGGUUCAUACCCUGGAGUCAUGACGGUACCGUACGCAUAAGCACCGGCUAACUACUAUCCAUCAACCGCGGUAAUACGCAGGGUGCAAGCGUUAAUCGGAAUUACUGGGCGUAAAGCGUGGGCAGGCGGUUUUGUAAGACAGAGGUGAAAUCCCCGGGCUCAACCGGGGAACUGCCUUUGUGACUGCAAGGCUAGAGUACGGCAGAGGGGGGUGGAAUUCCGCGUGUAGCAGUGAAAUGCGUAGAUAUGCGGAGGAACACCGAUGGCGAAGGCAACCCCCUGGGCCUGUACUGACGCUCAUGCACGAAAGCGUGGGGAGCAAACA